GAUGAACGCUGGCGGCGUGCCUAAUACAUGCAAGUCGAGCGAACGGACGAGAAGCUUGCUUCUCUGAUGUUAGCGGCGGACGGGUGAGUAACACGUGGAUAACCUACCUAUAAGACUGGGAUAACCACGGGAAACCGGAGCUAACACCGGAUGAUAUUUUGAACCGCAUGGUUCAAAAGUAAAAGUCGGUCUUUCUGUAUCUAAUCGAUGGAUCCGCGCUGCAUUAGCUAGUUGGUAAGGUAACGGCUUACCAAGGCAACGAUGCAUAGCCGACCUGAGAGGGUGAUCGGCCACACUGGAACUGAGACACGGUCCAGACUCCUACGGGAGGCAGCAGUAGGGAAUCUUCCGCAAUGGGCGAAAGCCUGACGGAGCAACGCCGCGUGAGUGAUGAAGGUCUUCGGAUCGUAAAACUCUGUUAUUAGGGAAGAACAUAUGUGUAAGUAACUGUGCACAGCUUGACGGUACCUAAUCAGAAAGCCACGGCUAACUACGUG
Molecule: ribosomal RNA, 497 nt
Filed under: uncultured bacterium
Lineage: Bacteria
Description: partial 16S ribosomal RNA
Rfam family: Bacterial small subunit ribosomal RNA
Source: RNAcentral